RNAcentral lists this ribosomal RNA (497 nucleotides) under uncultured bacterium. RNAcentral describes it as "partial 16S ribosomal RNA". It matches the Rfam family "Bacterial small subunit ribosomal RNA", at positions 28 to 507 of the family's 1533-position model. The record is from RNAcentral.
GAUGAACGCUGGCGGCGUGCCUAAUACAUGCAAGUCGAGCGAACAGAUGAGGAGCUUGCUCCUCUGACGUUAGCGUCGGACGGGUGAGUAACACGUGGAUAACCUACUUAUAAGACUGGGAUAACUUCGGGAAACCGGAGCUAAUACCGGAUAAUAUAUUGAACCGCAUGGUUCAAUAGUGAAAGACGGUUUUGCUGUCACUUAUAGAUGGAUCCGCGCCGCAUUAGCUAGUUGGUAAGGUAACGGCUUACCAAGGCAACGAUGCGUAGCCGACCUGAGAGGGUGAUCGGCCACACUGGAACUGAGACACGGUCCAGACUCCUACGGGAGGCAGCAGUAGGGAAUCUUCCGCAAUGGGCGAAAGCCUGACGGAGCAACGCCGCGUGAGUGAUGAAGGUCUUCGGAUCGUAAAACUCUGUUAUUAGGGAAGAACAAAUGUGUAAGUAACUAUGCACGUCUUGACGGUACCUAAUCAGAAAGCCACGGCUAACUACGUG